UACGGGAGGCAGCAGUGAGGAAUAUUGGUCAAUGGGCGCGAGCCUGAACCAGCCAAGUAGCGUGCAGGAUGACGGCCCUAUGGGUUGUAAACUGCUUUUGUAUGGGGUAUAAAGUCAAUCACGUGUGAUUGUUUGCAGGUACCAUACGAAUAAGGACCGGCUAAUUCCGUGCCAGCAGCCGCGGUAAU
This 188-nucleotide ribosomal RNA is filed under the name uncultured Prevotella sp. RNAcentral describes it as "partial 16S ribosomal RNA". It matches the Rfam family "Bacterial small subunit ribosomal RNA", at positions 340 to 524 of the family's 1533-position model. Lineage: Bacteria; Pseudomonadati; Bacteroidota; Bacteroidia; Bacteroidales; Prevotellaceae. The record is from RNAcentral.